AUCACGAUCGUGUUCUCGUAAUGAUGGUCCUGUCUGUUGUGUUCUUUGCUGGUUGCCUUUGGAGGCCGUGGCACCGACAACGGUGGCGGAACCGGUGGUAGAGACGGCGGUUGCGUUGUGCUUAAAUGGUUUGGUUGUGAUCGACGAACGUGACCUCUGACAAUUGUAAACGGCGCGGGGGGUAUCGGUGGCAUUGGAGACGGUGAAGAGGCACGAUGUAACAUAUCGUAACCUGCCUCGGAGUUUACUGAAUUGAAUGCCGUGUUGGCUGUCGACGAAGGCGGUGGUGGAGCAUUCUCUUUUGGAACAGUUAAGUGACGACCAUUUCUUGAGUGACUGUUUGGCGUAGGAGAUGGAGAAGGUCGUCGAGGAGGUAGCGGUGGACUUGGCACAAUUCUCCGUAUCGAAACUGGCGAAUUUGUUGGACUGGAGUCUUCUUCUUCAUCCGAGUCGUAACACAUAAGCCCACAGUGUCCAUUACAUAAAUCCAUAAUUUCCUAAAACGAAAAUAAAAGAGAAGCAUGAAUUAAUACCUGUGGCAUCGAUUAACAGCAACAAAAUUGUUUUAACUUGAUAAUAUUCAUUGUCCAGCGCAAGAAGAUGCAUACUAAUUUGUGUAAAAAUUAUUUUCUGCUCUAAUUCUGAUUUUAGAUAAUGAUAAAUUUGUUAAUGAAUAAUCAAAUUCUGUAGUUUAAAAUCUUUUUAAAAUUUUGUCGAAUAAAGGAAUUGUAUAAAUUAAUAUAAGUAAAAAGAAUGUAGCAAAAAAAAAAAAACCCUGUAUGCAGAAGAACAUCACAAUUGAGAACGAGCAUAAUUACAAAGCUGUAAAGCAGGGGAUCAUAAUGCAUUUGUUCACUUACCUGCGUUAAACGAGUCAAAAUACAUUUCCUUCAGUUAUGUACAUUAUCGAUUAGUUUUCCGAUCAUGCAGCGGGCAGAGCAAUGGACCCAGUAGAUAACAUUAUGAAAUAAAGAUAAACGAUCAUGCGAACGAUAUAACGAUAUAACACUUUUGUUCACUUUCAGUAGUUCCCUGUUGCUGGAACACUGAUUCAAUAGGCGUAAAAAUUAGAAUCCAGCAAAAGGGAUGCAUGUAUAAAAUAUGCAAAAGUAAUUCAAUGUAAUGAUAAUACAAUUUUAUUAAAAAAAAAAAGAAAAAAAAAGAAAACAAAAGGAAAACAAUAUGUUUUUCAGAUCUCUACUCUUAUAAUGAAUAGGAAGAAACGUACGCUACAAUUUGUAAUGUUUAUGAAUUAUUUAUUUUAGACCUCUUUCAUUGCUGGAUGUACACAGCAUGAAUGGAUCUAAAUGACUGAUCAAUUAGCAGCACUAGUUAUUGUACAAAAUUACGCUAAUGGGUACACGUAAACGCAGUAGAAAAAUCUAUCUUUUAAUUUUUCAACUUUUCAGUGCAACAUAUAGUAGAUCUUUGUCUACUAUUCAUAAAUUCGUACACAUAAGGAUACUAUAUGCUUAAAAAAUUAUUACUUCUCUUUCUUAGACCAUUAACUACGAAUUCACAUCUUAAAAAAAUAGUUUUGUUUUCAAAGAUGAAUUCGACCUUUUAAUUGCUCUUACAUGCAUCAAUGCAUACAGGAUUUAUAGCAUUAAGGUAUUGAAAAAAAAAACAGAAGAGAAGAUAACAACGUAUAUACCACAGCAUCAAAAUUCGACAUGAAGUGCUACCAUACAAUCACUAGUAUAACAUAACUCCUUAAAGUUCGUUUUAUGCGUGAAU
Frieseomelitta varia is the source of this 1737-nucleotide long non-coding RNA. RefSeq lists it as uncharacterized. Lineage: Eukaryota; Metazoa; Arthropoda; Insecta; Hymenoptera; Apidae. The record is from RefSeq and is a predicted model, not a curated record. The transcript has 3 exons.